GACGAACGCUGGCGGCGUGCUUAACACAUGCAAGUCGAACGAUGAACCCGGAGCUUGCUCCGGCGGAUUAGUGGCGAACGGGUGAGUAACACGUGAGUAACCUGCCCUUGACUCUGGGAUAACUGCUAGAAAUGGUAGCUAAUACCGGAUACGACCCUCGGUGGCAUCACCAGGGGGUGGCACGAAUUUCGGUCAAGGAUGGACUCGCGGCCUAUCAGCUAGUUGGUGCGGUAACGGCUCACCAAGGCGACGGCGGGUGGCCGGCCCGAGAGGGUGAGCGGCCACACUGGGACUGAGACACGGCCCAGACUCCUACGGGAGGCAGCAGUGGGGCAUAUUGCACAAUGGGCGCAAGCCUGAUGCAGCAACGCCGCGUGAGGGAUGACGGCCUUCGGGUUGUAAACCUCUUUUAGUAGGGAAGAAGCGAAAGUGACGGUACCUGCAGAAAAAGCACCGGCUAACUACGUGCCAGCCGCCGCAGUAA
This 484-nucleotide ribosomal RNA is filed under the name uncultured bacterium. RNAcentral's name for it is "partial 16S ribosomal RNA". It matches the Rfam family "Bacterial small subunit ribosomal RNA", at positions 28 to 523 of the family's 1533-position model. The record is from RNAcentral.